UGGGUUAAAAGGCUUGCACCGCCGCAGU
Molecule: non-coding RNA, 28 nt
Filed under: Rattus norvegicus (Norway rat)
Lineage: Eukaryota; Metazoa; Chordata; Mammalia; Rodentia; Muridae
Source: RNAcentral